This 1106-nucleotide ribosomal RNA is filed under the name Enterococcus faecium. RNAcentral describes it as "bacterial SSU rRNA". It matches the Rfam family "Bacterial small subunit ribosomal RNA", at positions 106 to 1199 of the family's 1533-position model. The record is from RNAcentral. Lineage: Bacteria; Bacillati; Bacillota; Bacilli; Lactobacillales; Enterococcaceae.
GUGAGUAACACGUGGGUAACCUGCCCAUCAGAAGGGGAUAACACUUGGAAACAGGUGCUAAUACCGUAUAACAAUCAAAACCGCAUGGUUUUGAUUUGAAAGGCGCUUUCGGGUGUCGCUGAUGGAUGGACCCGCGGUGCAUUAGCUAGUUGGUGAGGUAACGGCUCACCAAGGCCACGAUGCAUAGCCGACCUGAGAGGGUGAUCGGCCACAUUGGGACUGAGACACGGCCCAAACUCCUACGGGAGGCAGCAGUAGGGAAUCUUCGGCAAUGGACGAAAGUCUGACCGAGCAACGCCGCGUGAGUGAAGAAGGUUUUCGGAUCGUAAAACUCUGUUGUUAGAGAAGAACAAGGAUGAGAGUAACUGUUCAUCCCUUGACGGUAUCUAACCAGAAAGCCACGGCUAACUACGUGCCAGCAGCCGCGGUAAUACGUAGGUGGCAAGCGUUGUCCGGAUUUAUUGGGCGUAAAGCGAGCGCAGGCGGUUUCUUAAGUCUGAUGUGAAAGCCCCCGGCUCAACCGGGGAGGGUCAUUGGAAACUGGGAGACUUGAGUGCAGAAGAGGAGAGUGGAAUUCCAUGUGUAGCGGUGAAAUGCGUAGAUAUAUGGAGGAACACCAGUGGCGAAGGCGGCUCUCUGGUCUGUAACUGACGCUGAGGCUCGAAAGCGUGGGGAGCAAACAGGAUUAGAUACCCUGGUAGUCCACGCCGUAAACGAUGAGUGCUAAGUGUUGGAGGGUUUCCGCCCUUCAGUGCUGCAGCUAACGCAUUAAGCACUCCGCCUGGGGAGUACGACCGCAAGGUUGAAACUCAAAGGAAUUGACGGGGGCCCGCACAAGCGGUGGAGCAUGUGGUUUAAUUCGAAGCAACGCGAAGAACCUUACCAGGUCUUGACAUCCUUUGACCACUCUAGAGAUAGAGCUUCCCCUUCGGGGGCAAAGUGCCAGGUGGUGCAUGGUGGUCGUCAGCUCGUGUCGUGAGAUGUUGGGUUAAGUCCCGCAACGAGCGCAACCCUUAUUGUUAGUUGCCAUCAUUCAGUUGGGCAUUCUAGCAAGACUGCCGGUGACAAACCGGAGGAAGGUGGGGAUGACGUCAAAUCAUCAUGCC